Molecule: small RNA, 226 nt
Filed under: Drosophila mojavensis
Lineage: Eukaryota; Metazoa; Arthropoda; Insecta; Diptera; Drosophilidae
Description: GI26875
Source: RNAcentral
AGCAUUUUUUGGUCAGUAAUUCCCCACUUACUUGUUAACUUCAAAAGUCAAAUUUAUAAUCCAUUUAUAUUCAUAAUUUAUAAGUUGUUUUAACAUUUCCCGUAAAUAAUCUGAUGCCUUUCCACAAAUGAGGCGCUAAAUUCGGCUAAUUUGUGAAGCUAAGCAACCGCGCGACAUGCAAACAGCAUUUAAAACUUGUCUUGUAUGCCAUUAAAAAGAAGAAGAA